AUCAUGACAUAUGUGUGGCUACUAUGGCUUGGAUAAAAUCUCUGACGACCGUCGACGGACAGGUUGCAGGAUACUAAGAUAAAAAGAACCAGUUGACAUAUACAACUAUAAAGGGAGCGGGUCACACAGCUCCACAGUACAAACCUGAAAAAUGUCAUGCUAUGAUUAGUCGGUGGUUCGCAUACUAACCGCUGUAGUCAGAAUUUCUGUAUCCCAAACUUAAUAAGUUAACUGGUUCACAGCAAAAGUUCAUAAUAGUUGAUGUUGGAUUCGUAAAGCCUGUGUCUGUUUGAGUCAAUUCUUCAAAGAUUGUCAUAAAAUCAUAAAUCAAAUAUCAGUUUUAUUUAUGAGAUAGCUAUAA
Molecule: long non-coding RNA, 361 nt
Organism: Prunus dulcis (almond)
Lineage: Eukaryota; Viridiplantae; Streptophyta; Magnoliopsida; Rosales; Rosaceae
Exons: 3
Source: RefSeq, a predicted model, not a curated record